RNAcentral lists this long non-coding RNA (202 nucleotides) under Homo sapiens (human). RNAcentral's name for it is "LHRI_LNC1237.1". The record is from RNAcentral. Lineage: Eukaryota; Metazoa; Chordata; Mammalia; Primates; Hominidae.
GGGCUGCUGGCGCCGGACGAGGAGGAGCCGGGGCCGCCGCUCGCUCGGCUGGUCGAGCCCGCUCAGCGCCGCCGCCGCCUGUGCCGCGGGCUCGGGGGGUCUCUCUGGGCUGGUCCCCGCCGCGGCGCCUCUGCCGCUGCCGCCGCGCUCCGACUGCGCUCCUCCUCUUCCUCCUCCUCCUUCUCCUCCUCCUCCUCCUCAC